Molecule: ribosomal RNA, 509 nt
Filed under: uncultured bacterium
Lineage: Bacteria
Description: partial 16S ribosomal RNA
Rfam family: Bacterial small subunit ribosomal RNA
Source: RNAcentral
GACGAACGCUGGCGGCGUGCCUAAUACAUGCAAGUCGAACGCUUCUUUCCUCCCGAGUGCUUGCACUCAAUUGGAAAGAGGAGUGGCGGACGGGUGAGUAACACGUGGGUAACCUACCCAUCAGAGGGGGAUAACACUUGGAAACAGGUGCUAAUACCGCAUAACAGUUUAUGCCGCAUGGCAUAAGAGUGAAAGGCGCUUUCGGGUGUCGCUGAUGGAUGGACCCGCGGUGCAUUAGCUAGUUGGUGAGGUAACGGCUCACCAAGGCCACGAUGCAUAGCCGACCUGAGAGGGGGAUCGGCCACACUGGGACUGGGACACGGCCCAGACUCCUACGGGAGGCAGCAGUAGGGAAUCUUCGGCAAUGGACGAAAGUCUGACCGAGCAACGCCGCGUGAGUGAAGAAGGGUUUCGGAUCGUAAAACUCUGUUGUUAGAGAAGAACAAGGACGUUAGUAACUGAACGUCCCCUGACGGUAUCUAACCAGAAAGCCACGGCUAACUACGUGC